This 23-nucleotide non-coding RNA is filed under the name Cricetulus griseus (Chinese hamster). The record is from RNAcentral. Lineage: Eukaryota; Metazoa; Chordata; Mammalia; Rodentia; Cricetidae.
CUGGCCUUGGAAAGAAGGCAGGC